UACGGAGGAUGCGAGCGUUAUCCGGAUUUAUGGGGUUUAAAGGGUGCGCAGGCGGCACGGCAAGCCGGCGGUCAAAUCGCGGGGCUCAACCCCGCCCAGCCGUCGGAACUGCCGGGCUAGAGUGGGCGAGAAGUGCGCGGAAUGCGUGGUGUAGCGGUGAAAUGCAUAGAUAUCACGCAGAACUCCGAUUGCGAAGGCAGCGCACCGGCGCCCUACUGACGCUCAGGCACGAAAGCGUGGGUAUCGAACAGG
This 252-nucleotide ribosomal RNA is filed under the name uncultured bacterium. RNAcentral describes it as "partial 16S ribosomal RNA". It matches the Rfam family "Bacterial small subunit ribosomal RNA", at positions 524 to 776 of the family's 1533-position model. The record is from RNAcentral.